This is a long non-coding RNA of Gasterosteus aculeatus aculeatus (three-spined stickleback), 1122 nucleotides long. NCBI's taxonomy places the organism in Eukaryota, Metazoa, Chordata, Actinopteri, Perciformes, Gasterosteidae. The record is from Ensembl.
CUGCUGCAUGGCCGAACUGGGCGACUGCGUGCUGCUGUAAUAACUGCUCUGGCCGUGCUGCUGCACCUGCCCCGAGUACAUGUUGGAAUGCUGACUCAUCCCCUGGCGGGCCUGAAACCGAAGCACACGCGUGAGCCGGGACUCCGGCACGGAGAGAUAAAUACAGAUGUCAGCGAGGCGUCGGUCAAUACCAUGAGGCCCAGUGGGACACUUCCUUUGUGCAGACUGGUUACCUGCAGCAGGUGUGUGUCCAUGAGCUGGGAGCCCCCCAUGCCAGAGGGCUGGUUGAGCUGCGGCUCAAACAGGAUGGGGAUGUGCUGCGUGGAGGAGGCCUGCUGGUAGGCCAGGCCGGACUGAGGCUUGCCCAGCUCGGAGGCCUGCACGCCGGCGUAGCUGUGCAGCGGGGGGCCCGACAGCAUCAUGGAGGGCUGCGACAGGCUGCUCUGCAUGAAGGCCUGCUGGGACCUGAGGGCGGCGCGGAGGACGGGCGCGGUGAGACGAUGCUCGGCAGCAGCGUGCGGGCGCUCGGCGCUCUGAGAGUUUACCUGUAAGGCUGCAAGGAGGAACUGAACAGGUCCUGAUGCUGGGAGACGGGGGGGCCGGUGCUGAGCCCCAGCUGGGCCUGAUGUUGGUGCUGGUGGUGCUGAUGUUGGUGCUGGGGCUGGCGGGUGAAUCCGGAUGUCUCACCUGCUGCAGACUGAGAGACGUACACCUGGGGGGUCUGCUGCUGCUGCGGCGGCAGGAGGGUCGGCACGCAGCCCAGCUGGGAGAAGCUGCCAGCGUUGGAGGACAGACCGCCCACCUGCAGCUGCUGGGGCUUCACCUUGCAGAUGUUCGGGGGGUCGCAGGCCGUGGCGGUCUUGGUGCCGAGGGACGAGGUGGUGUAGGUGCCGGCGCCUGCAGAGCAGAACACGGUGAAGACGUAGCCACGCUUAAAGCUUCGGCCCCUUACCUGACAGCGAGGCCCCUUACCUGACAGCGAGGUGCUGGGCGUGACGGACGCCACGGGGAUCUGUGGCAUGGAGGCGGAGGAGAAGGUGGAGUACGAGGACGCACAGGAGGUGAUGGGGGAGGAAGAGGUGGUGAUCGGAGAGUUCUUCUCCAGACUCGGGGAGUUCUCCC